RNAcentral lists this long non-coding RNA (563 nucleotides) under Calidris pugnax (ruff). RNAcentral's name for it is "lncRNA (ENSCPUG00000011768.1)". Lineage: Eukaryota; Metazoa; Chordata; Aves; Charadriiformes; Scolopacidae. The record is from RNAcentral.
ACUGGUGCCAAGGCUGAAGCACCAGCCCUUGGUGGUUCUGAUCUGCAGCCAAGAAGUUUCCUGCCCUUAUUUUUCCACUCUCCUUAGGAAAUGGAGAGAGCUCGCCAGCGAGAAGAGGAGGGCAGGAGAGAUUUGGAAAGAUGGAAAGAGGAGGAGAGGAUGAAGCUGCACGAAGAGCUAGAUGGCCUGAGGCAACUCUUCCUCACAGCAUUCCAGGACAUGGCCAGCAGGAACAGUGCCAUGGAGAAGAAACUGCAGGAGCUUCAGGCCAGAGAGGCGAAGGUGUCCAACCUGGGGACACUGCGGGAUGAUGACACCGAAGAGGCGCCGUGGCAGAUCCCAAGACCAGCAGAGCUGCAGGGAGAGCAGGAGAGGAUGGCAGUACAGUUGACGAAAGAGAACAAGACAGUCCAUGCUACCUCAUCCCAGGACCAUGUCCAUCAGCAGAGGGAUGCCCUCAGCAGCCGGCUCAGGGGCCAGCCCAAGGUCACGAAGGCUCAGGAGAAGGCAAGUGAAAUGAAAAAGGAGAAGAAAAGGAAAAAAAAAAAAAAAAAAAAAAAAAU